GUCUAAACAGGCUGUCGAGGUUCUCCAUAUCAGGCGUGAUGUGGAGCUAAGACGGGAAGCCGGUGACGCUUGAAAGGGCGGAGUCCGGCGCUGCCCCCGCAACUGUGAGCGGCGAGCGGUAGUCCACCAUGUGCCACUGGCGCCCGCGCGGCGCCGGGAAGGCCCGGACUAACGUGUUGACCCGUAAAGCCAGGAGACCUGCCUCGUCGUGAUAGGAUUC
Molecule: non-coding RNA, 220 nt
Filed under: Sphingobium wenxiniae LL03
Lineage: Bacteria; Pseudomonadati; Pseudomonadota; Alphaproteobacteria; Sphingomonadales; Sphingobiaceae
Source: RNAcentral